GAUGAAGAACGUAGUGAAAUGCGAUAAGUAAUGUGAAUUGCAGAAUUCAGUGAAUCAUCGAAUCUUUGAACGCACAUUGCGCCCCCUGGUAUUCCGGGGGGCAUGCCUGUCCGAGCGUCAUUACAACCCUCAAGCUCAGCUUGGUGUUGGGCCCCGCCGCCCCGGCGGGCCCUAAAGUCAGUGGCGGUGCCGUCCGGCUCCGAGCGUAGUAAUUCUUCUCGCUCUGGAGGUCCGGUCGUGUGCUCGCCAGCAACCCCCAAUUUUUUCAGGUUGACCUCGGAUCAGGUAGGGAUACCCGCUGAACUUAAGCAUAUCAAUAAGCGGAGGA
This 328-nucleotide unclassified non-coding RNA is filed under the name soil metagenome. RNAcentral's name for it is "partial contains 5.8S ribosomal RNA, internal transcribed spacer 2, and large subunit ribosomal RNA". The stretch from base 1 to 120 matches the Rfam family "5.8S ribosomal RNA", at positions 35 to 154 of the family's 154-position model. The record is from RNAcentral.